This 1409-nucleotide ribosomal RNA is filed under the name uncultured bacterium. RNAcentral describes it as "bacterial SSU rRNA". It matches the Rfam family "Bacterial small subunit ribosomal RNA". The record is from RNAcentral.
UGCAAGUCGAACGGUAACAUUUCUAGCUUGCUAGAAGAUGACGAGUGGUGGACGGGUGAGUAACGCGUAGGGAUCUGCCUUGGUGUGGGGGAUAGCCCGGAGAAAUUCGGAUUAAUACCGCAUACGUCCUAAGGGGGAAAGAGUGCCUCUUCUCGAAAGCACUCGCACUAAGAUGAACCUGCGUAAGAUUAGCUAGUUGGUGAGGUAAUGGCUCACCAAGGCGACGAUCUUUAGCUGGUCUGAGAGGAUGAUCAGCCACACUGGGACUGAGACACGGCCCAGACUCCUACGGGAGGCAGCAGUGGGGAAUAUUGCACAAUGGGCGCAAGCCUGAUGCAGCAAUACCGCGUGUGUGAAGAAGGCCUGAGGGUUGUAAAGCACUUUCAGUAGGGAGGAAAAGCUAGUCGUUAAUAGCGGCUAGCCGUGACGUUACCUACAGAAGAAGCACCGGCUAACUCCGUGCCAGCAGCCGCGGUAAUACGGAGGGUGCAAGCGUUAAUCGGAAUUACUGGGCGUAAAGCGUGCGUAGGCGGCUUAGUCAGUCGGAUGUGAAAGCCCAGGGCUCAACCUUGGAACUGCAUUCGAUACUGCUGAGCUAGAGUGUAAGAGAGGGUGGUGGAAUUUCCGGUGUAGCGGUGAAAUGCGUAGAGAUCGGAAGGAACAUCAGUGGCGAAGGCGGCCACCUGGCUUAACACUGACGCUGAGGCACGAAAGCGUGGGUAGCAAACAGGAUUAGAUACCCUGGUAGUCCACGCCGUAAACGAUGUCAACUAGCCGUUGGGAGACAUGAUCUCUUAGUGGCGCAGCUAACGCAAUAAGUUGACCGCCUGGGGAGUACGGUCGCAAGAUUAAAACUCAAAUGAAUUGACGGGGGCCCGCACAAGCGGUGGAGCAUGUGGUUUAAUUCGAUGCAACGCGAAGAACCUUACCAAUCCUUGACAUCCAGAGAAGUCAGUAGAAAUACAGAUGUGCCUUCGGGAACUCUGUGACAGGUGCUGCAUGGCUGUCGUCAGCUCGUGUUGUGAAAUGUUGGGUUAAGUCCCGUAACGAGCGCAACCCCUAUCCUUAUUUGCCAGCACAUUAUGGUGGGAACUCUAAGGAGACUGCCGGUGACAAACCGGAGGAAGGUGGGGACGACGUCAAGUCAUCAUGGCCCUUACGGAUUGGGCUACACACGUGCUACAAUGGGCAGUACAGAGGGUUGCGACCCCGCGAGGGUGAGCUAAUCUCAGAAAGCUGUUCGUAGUCCGGAUUGGAGUCUGCAACUCGACUCCAUGAAGUUGGAAUCGCUAGUAAUCGCAGAUCAGAAUGCUGCGGUGAAUACGUUCCCGGGCCUUGUACACACCGCCCGUCACACCAUGGAAGUGGGUUGCACCAGAAGUAGCUAGACUAACCUUCGGGAGGUCGGU